RNAcentral lists this transfer RNA (32 nucleotides) under Koenigia nummulariifolia. RNAcentral describes it as "partial tRNA-Phe". Lineage: Eukaryota; Viridiplantae; Streptophyta; Magnoliopsida; Caryophyllales; Polygonaceae. The record is from RNAcentral.
GGGAUAGCUCAGUUGGUAGAGCAGAGGACUGA